Molecule: ribosomal RNA, 492 nt
Filed under: uncultured bacterium
Lineage: Bacteria
Description: partial 16S ribosomal RNA
Rfam family: Bacterial small subunit ribosomal RNA
Source: RNAcentral
AGUGAACGCUGGCGGUAGGCCUAACACAUGCAAGUCGAACGGCAGCACAGUAAGAGCUUGCUCUUACGGGUGGCGAGUGGCGGACGGGUGAGGAAUACAUCGGAAUCUACUUUUUCGUGGGGGAUAACGUAGGGAAACUUACGCUAAUACCGCAUACGACCUACGGGUGAAAGCAGGGGAUCUUCGGACCUUGCGCGAUUGAAUGAGCCGAUGUCGGAUUAGCUAGUUGGCGGGGUAAAGGCCCACCAAGGCGACGAUCCGUAGCUGGUCUGAGAGGAUGAUCAGCCACACUGGAACUGAGACACGGUCCAGACUCCUACGGGAGGCAGCAGUGGGGAAUAUUGGACAAUGGGCGCAAGCCUGAUCCAGACAUACCGCGUGGGUGAAGAAGGCCCUCGGGUUGUAAAGCCCUUUUGUUGGGAAAGAAAAGCAGCAGGUUAAUACCCCGCUGUUCUGACGGUACCCAAAGAAUAAGCACCGGCUAACUUCGUG